Molecule: ribosomal RNA, 253 nt
Filed under: uncultured bacterium
Lineage: Bacteria
Description: partial 16S ribosomal RNA
Rfam family: Bacterial small subunit ribosomal RNA
Source: RNAcentral
UACGUAGGGUGCAAGCGUUGUCCGGAAUUAUUGGGCGUAAAGAGCUCGUAGGCGGUCAGUCGCGUCUGCUGUGAAAACUCGGGGCUUAACUCCGGGCCUGCAGUGGGUACGGGCUGACUAGAGUGCGGUAGGGGAGACUGGAAUUCCUGGUGUAGCGGUGAAAUGCGCAGAUAUCAGGAGGAACACCAAUAGCGAAGGCAGCUCGCUGGGACGGUACUGACGCUAAGGCGCGAAAGCGUGGGGAGCGAACAGG